UCCAUCUGGGUCUUCAAUGCGUCCAAGGAUGAUGAUGGCACAAAGAGCUACUUUUACCACUGAGCUGUCAGUGCCCCUUUCUGUCAUCUGCUGCCCACCUGGUGAAUAUUAUUCCUCUUCCCUGCCCCAGUGCAGUUGACCCCCAUGUCUUCUAGAUUUCCCUAACUCCUGAAUAUGAAAGAGGCUUUGGCCCUUGCUCAGGAUAACUGUGCAGGCACCUUAUACAAUGACACUGAGCAGAGAGCCCCUAACUGUGCAUUCACUGAGACCUAGAUAGUGUCUCUGUAGAGACACUGUCCUUGACUUAGAAGUGAGAUUUUCAGAGGAAAUCUGGACAGUUCAGCCCAAUAAACCACUGUUCUGCUUUAGGAAACCCCACAGCCAAAUAAAUACAAGAUUUCAAAGACAGAUUUUUUUUUUUUUUUUUUUUUUUUUUUUCAACUGCUGCUUGUGGAUGUUUUAGGAGGCAUUGGAUUGAAAAUAAUGGUUGUGUUACAUGAAACAGUUAAGAGAGUAAUUCUGUAGAGAAGACCAACGUAGAGGAAAGCAAGAUAAACAGGUACCCAGGGAACCAUAGAAUUCAUACUCCACUUCCACCUCUCCCAAGCUUGCCGUUUUCUUCCAAGUUCCCAUAUAACUUACCUCUCUGCAGAUCGCACCACUCCUUGUGUUGGGAAGCACAAGCUAUGUGCAUGCACAUAUAAGGAUGUUUGUAUAGACAUGUAUGUCAGUGUGAACAAAAUGAAAGGUGGUGUCUAUUCUCUUCCUGAAUCUGUAAGUAAUGGACAAACAGACAUCGUUGAAUCACAGCAUAUAGACAGUUUCCUAAUGGAUUGCCUUAAUGUAUCUCCAUAUAAAAACACAGUAAGAUGAAAUCUCUGAUUCAUUCUGCAGGUUUUACCCCUGUUCUUUUACCUUAACUGGCUUUAGAGCUGCUUUUGGUCACUGACUUGGCAUAAGGCAUCUGGAUCCCGCUACUCAGCUAGUUUUGCACUAGUUUGCUGAAGGCAGGAAUGAGUGCUUGGACUGAAAUUGUCUUGAGGUACCUGAGGUACCUCCUUGUUAACAAAGAAGUCAAAACUUGAUCAAGCCUUCCAAACUAGUGCAGAAAGUUCUCACCAAUGUGAAAUUUGCUGAAGGAUUGUAAGUCUAAUUCAAUUAGGCAGCUAAAUGGCAGAAUAAAACACUUCAUCAGGUAUUUUUAUUUAAACA
Molecule: long non-coding RNA, 1212 nt
Filed under: Anas platyrhynchos platyrhynchos (common mallard)
Lineage: Eukaryota; Metazoa; Chordata; Aves; Anseriformes; Anatidae
Description: lncRNA (ENSAPLG00000018173.1)
Source: RNAcentral